CAAGUCGAACGGAAAGGCCCCUAGCUUGCUGGGGGUACUCGAGUGGCGAACGGGUGAGUAACACGUGGGUGAUCUGCCCUGCACUUCGGGAUAAGCUUGGGAAACUGGGUCUAAUACCGGAUAUGAACGGUCUUUGGUGUGAUUGUUGGAAAGAUUUUUUCGGUGUGGGAUGAGCUCGCGGCCUAUCAGCUUGUUGGUGGGGUAAUGGCCUACCAAGGCGUCGACGGGUAGCCGGCCUGAGAGGGUGUACGGCCACAUUGGGACUGAGAUACGGCCCAGACUCCUACGGGAGGCAGCAGUGGGGAAUAUUGCACAAUGGGCGCAAGCCUGAUGCAGCGACGCCGCGUGGGGGAUGAAGGCCUUCGGGUUGUAAACUCCUUUCGCUAGGGACGAAGCCUUUUUUAAGGUGACGGUACCUGGAUAAGAAGCACCGGCUAACUACGUGCCAGCAGCCGCGGUAAUACGUAGGGUGCAAGCGUUGUCCGGAAUUACUGGGCGUAAAGAGCUCGUAGGUGGUUUGUCGCGUCGUCUGUGAAAUUCCGGGGCUUAACUCCGGGCGUGCAGGCGAUACGGGCAUAACUUGAGUGCUGUAGGGGAGACUGGAAUUCCUGGUGUAGCGGUGAAAUGCGCAGAUAUCAGGAGGAACACCGAUGGCGAAGGCAGGUCUCUGGGCAGUAACUGACGCUGAGGAGCGAAAGCAUGGGUAGCGAACAGGAUUAGAUACCCUGGUAGUCCAUGCCGUAAACGGUGGGCGCUAGGUGUAGGGGGCUUCCACGUCUUCUGUGCCGUAGCUAACGCAUUAAGCGCCCCGCCUGGGGAGUACGGCCGCAAGGCUAAAACUCAAAGGAAUUGACGGGG
Molecule: ribosomal RNA, 858 nt
Filed under: Corynebacterium sp.
Lineage: Bacteria; Bacillati; Actinomycetota; Actinomycetes; Mycobacteriales; Corynebacteriaceae
Description: bacterial SSU rRNA
Rfam family: Bacterial small subunit ribosomal RNA
Source: RNAcentral